UAAGGGCGCACGGUGGAUGCCUUGGCACUAGAAGCCGAUGAAGGACGUUACUAACGACGAUAUGCUUUGGGGAGCUGUAAGUAAGCUUUGAUCCAGAGAUUUCCGAAUGGGGAAACCCAGCAUGAGUUAUGUCAUGUUAUCGAUAUGUGAAUACAUAGCAUAUCAGAAGGCACACCCGGAGAACUGAAACAUCUUAGUACCCGGAGGAAGAGAAAGAAAAUUCGAUUCCCUUAGUAGCGGCGAGCGAAACGGGAAGAGCCCAAACCAACAAGCUUGCUUGUUGGGGUUGUAGGACACUCUAUACGGAGUUACAAAGGACGACAUUAGACGAAUCAUCUGGAAAGAUGAAUCAAAGAAGGUAAUAAUCCUGUAGUCGAAAAUGUUGUCUCUCUUGAGUGGAUCCUGAGUACGACGGAGCACGUGAAAUUCCGUCGGAAUCUGGGAGGACCAUCUCCUAAGGCUAAAUACUCUCUAGUGACCGAUAGUGAACCAGUACCGUGAGGGAAAGGUGAAAAGCACCCCGGAAGGGGAGUGAAAUAGAACCUGAAACCGUGUGCUUACAAGUAGUCAGAGCCCGUUAAUGGGUGAUGGCGUGCCUUUUGUAGAAUGAACCGGCGAGUUACGAUUUGAUGCAAGGUUAAGCAGUAAAUGUGGAGCCGUAGCGAAAGCGAGUCUGAAUAGGGCGUUUAGUAUUUGGUCGUAGACCCGAAACCAGGUGAUCUACCCUUGGUCAGGUUGAAGUUCAGGUAACACUGAAUGGAGGACCGAACCGACUUACGUUGAAAAGUGAGCGGAUGAACUGAGGGUAGCGGAGAAAUUCCAAUCGAACCUGGAGAUAGCUGGUUCUCUCCGAAAUAGCUUUAGGGCUAGCCUCAAGUGAUGAUUAUUGGAGGUAGAGCACUGUUUGGACGAGGGGCCCCUCUCGGGUUACCGAAUUCAGACAAACUCCGAAUGCCAAUUAAUUUAACUUGGGAGUCAGAACAUGGGUGAUAAGGUCCGUGUUCGAAAGGGAAACAGCCCAGACCACCAGCUAAGGUCCCAAAAUAUAUGUUAAGUGGAAAAGGAUGUGGCGUUGCCCAGACAACUAGGAUGUUGGCUUAGAAGCAGCCAUCAUUUAAAGAGUGCGUAAUAGCUCACUAGUCGAGUGACACUGCGCCGAAAAUGUACCGGGGCUAAACAUAUUACCGAAGCUGUGGAUUGUCCUUUGGACAAUGGUAGGAGAGCGUUCUAAGGGCGUUGAAGCAUGAUCGUAAGGACAUGUGGAGCGCUUAGAAGUGAGAAUGCCGGUGUGAGUAGCGAAAGACGGGUGAGAAUCCCGUCCACCGAUUGACUAAGGUUUCCAGAGGAAGGCUCGUCCGCUCUGGGUUAGUCGGGUCCUAAGCUGAGGCCGACAGGCGUAGGCGAUGGAUAACAGGUUGAUAUUCCUGUACCACCUAUAAUCGUUUUAAUCGAUGGGGGGACGCAGUAGGAUAGGCGAAGCGUGCGAUUGGAUUGCACGUCUAAGCAGUAAGGCUGAGUAUUAGGCAAAUCCGGUACUCGUUAAGGCUGAGCUGUGAUGGGGAGAAGA
Molecule: ribosomal RNA, 1567 nt
Filed under: Staphylococcus aureus
Lineage: Bacteria; Bacillati; Bacillota; Bacilli; Caryophanales; Staphylococcaceae
Description: partial 23S ribosomal RNA
Rfam family: Bacterial large subunit ribosomal RNA
Source: RNAcentral